AAGAGGGGUGUUUUGAGCCUGCACACUGUGUGUGAAGGAUAUUGUGUUGGCUUGUGUCCGUACAGAGAAGCGAGAGAAAGAGGGGUGUUUUGAGUCUGGCAAAAGCGCUGAAAAUGAGCAGGAGACAGAAGACUCGGAACGGCAGCGAGAAUGCGUGGUGGAAGCUAAUGAGGGAAGCAUUCUCCAUGAGAAACUAAACAACAAUGUAAACACCGUUUACAACUAGUGGUUUCCUGGCCCGGCAAUAUUGAUCCUGAAUAGGCUUCUCUGCUCAACUUUUACAGAGGCUAGUUUUCUCCUGCUGGUGCUUGAUAGCCAGCUGUUGUCAUACCAUGCAAUUAUGAGCCCGUGCAAAAUCCUUUGCAGGGCUGCUUUUUUGUUUGUUGUGAUGAGAGAGGGAGGCUACGCUAACUGUGUAUCCUCAUUAUGGAAUGCAUGUAAGUGGUUGUGAGGCACAAUUAAAAAACUAAA
Molecule: non-coding RNA, 471 nt
Organism: Oncorhynchus mykiss (rainbow trout)
Lineage: Eukaryota; Metazoa; Chordata; Actinopteri; Salmoniformes; Salmonidae
Source: RefSeq, a predicted model, not a curated record